Molecule: ribosomal RNA, 1060 nt
Filed under: Vermifilum ionodolium BLCC-M64
Lineage: Bacteria; Bacillati; Cyanobacteriota; Cyanophyceae; Oscillatoriales; Vermifilaceae
Description: bacterial SSU rRNA
Source: RNAcentral
UAGGGUUGUAAACCCCUUUUAUAUGGGAAGAAAAAAUGACGGUACCAUAUGAAUAAGCCUCGGCUAACUCCGUGCCAGCAGCCGCGGUAAUACGGAGGAGGCAAGCGUUAUCCGGAUUUAUUGGGCGUAAAGCGUUCGCAGGUGGUUUUUCAAGUCUGCUGUUAAAGACAGUGGCUCAACUACUGAAAGGCAGUAGAUACUGAAAGACUAGAGUGCGGUAGGGGCAGAGGGAAUUCCAGGUGUAGCGGUGAAAUGCGUAGAUUUCUGGAAGAACAUCGGUGGCGAAAGCGCUCUGCUGGACCGCAACUGACACUCAGGGACGAAAGCUAGGGGAGCGAAUGGGAUUAGAUACCCCAGUAGUCCUAGCCGUAAACGAUGGAUACUAGGUGUUGUCUGUAUCGACCCGGACAGUGCCGUAGCUAACGCGUUAAGUAUCCCGCCUGGGGAGUACGCACGCAAGUGUGAAACUCAAAGGAAUUGACGGGGGCCCGCACAAGCGGUGGAGUAUGUGGUUUAAUUCGAUGCAACGCGAAGAACCUUACCUGGACUUGACAUGUCGCGAAUUAAAGUGAAAGCUUUGAGUGCCUUCGGGAGCGCGAACACAGGUGGUGCAUGGCUGUCGUCAGCUCGUGUCGUGAGAUGUUGGGUUAAGUCCCGCAACGAGCGCAACCCUCGUUUUUAGUUGCCAGCAUGGUGUAAAAACUGAUGGGAACUCUAGAGAGACUGCCGGUGACAAACCGGAGGAAGGUGGGGAUGACGUCAAGUCAGCAUGCCCCUUACGUCCAGGGCUACACACGUACUACAAUGGUCAGGACAAAGGGUAGCGAACCCGCGAGGGGGAGCCAAUCCCGUCAAACUUGGCCUCAGUUCAGAUUGCAGGCUGCAACUCGCCUGCAUGAAGGAGGAAUCGCUAGUAAUCGCAGGUCAGCAUACUGCGGUGAAUCCGUUCCCGGGCCUUGUACACUCCGCCCGUCACACCAUGGAAGUUGGCCAUGCCCGAAGUCAUUACCCUAACUCUUGAUAGARAGGGGGAUGCCGAAGGCARGGCUGAUGACUGGGG